This 615-nucleotide long non-coding RNA is filed under the name Coffea arabica (coffee). Its description in RNAcentral is "long non-coding RNA (CARA_LNC003824)". Lineage: Eukaryota; Viridiplantae; Streptophyta; Magnoliopsida; Gentianales; Rubiaceae. The record is from RNAcentral.
AUCCAAUAGCUUCUUCAAUAAAUGGCGAUGCUAACCAAGAUGUACAAGUGAAGGCUCACUCCUUCCUCACCCCAAACACACUUUGGUUGAGCCAAGGAGUUUUACAACAAUUCUAGUUAACCCUCAACAACCUACACUUGAAAGAUCACUCACCCAAUUAAGAACUAUUUUAUACAAAUGAGGCAACCUUCACCAAGGUUUUACCACUUCAAGUGAUAGGUUCACCUUCACCAAGGUUUUGCUCCUCCUAGAGAGUAACCUUCACUUGAGCAACCUCACAACCCAACUUCCCCAACCCCUUAUACAACCAACAAAGAAUCUUUCUACUCAAAAAUCUCACUUGUAAGCUUGUAUUUUGUGUUGGCAAAAGUCUCUUGUCUUCUUGUGCUUUGGGGUUUUUAUAGAAGGUGAGAAAUGGCUCCAAAAGGCUCUCCAACGGUCAAAUAUUAAAUGCUGUCAAAACUAGCCGUUGGCCUGUCGGACGUCCGAACCACCUGUCGAACGUCCGAACCCUGCGUCCAAACCACCUGUCGGACGUCCGAACCCUGCAUCCGAACGUUGACAGAGAGUCAUCAAAUCUUUGCGAAAUUUCUCGGACGUCCGAUGCGAUCGAUG